RNAcentral lists this ribosomal RNA (301 nucleotides) under uncultured bacterium. RNAcentral's name for it is "partial 16S ribosomal RNA". It matches the Rfam family "Bacterial small subunit ribosomal RNA", at positions 509 to 809 of the family's 1533-position model. The record is from RNAcentral.
CAGCCGCCGCGGUAAUACGUAGGUGGCAAGCGUUGUCCGGAAUUAUUGGGCGUAAAGGGCUCGCAGGCGGUUUCUUAAGUCUGAUGUGAAAUCCCCGGGCUCAACCUGGGAAUGGCAGUGGAUACUGGCUCGCUAGAGUGUGUCAGAGGAUGGUGGAAUUCCCGGCGUAGCGGUGAAAUGCGUAGAGAUCGGGAGGAACAUCAGUGGCGAAGGCGGCCAUCUGGGACAACACUGACGCUGAGGCACGAAAGCGUGGGGAGCAAACAGGAUUAGAUACCCCUGUAGUCCCUGUCUCUUAUAU